Syzygium oleosum is the source of this 925-nucleotide long non-coding RNA. RefSeq lists it as uncharacterized. The transcript has 3 exons. NCBI's taxonomy places the organism in Eukaryota, Viridiplantae, Streptophyta, Magnoliopsida, Myrtales, Myrtaceae. The record is from RefSeq and is a predicted model, not a curated record.
CUUGAUUUGGUUGUGGAUUUUGAUUUGGAAAAGGCAUACGAAUUAUUUCUUUACGAGGAGAAAAAAGUGUCCGCGGGCUACUUAUCUGAGCUCGAUAAGUAUCUUAAAGCCGAACGUGAAGAAGGUCGUGAUCUUGACCUUUUGGUGUGGUGGAAAACUGUUGGCCAAAAGUUUAAAAUCCUCUCUUUGAUGGCUCGGGAUAUUUUGUCUAUUCCGGUAACAACCGUUGCUUCAUAGUCAACUUUUAGUACAUCCGGUCGUGUGCUUGAUGGUUUUCGAAGUUCUUUGACUCCUAGAGUGGUCGAAGCUUUGAUUUGCACUCAAGAUUGGUUGAGAGUGGUUACCAUGCCGAUUAAUGUUGAAGAGUGCAUCGAGAAUGCAGAAAGGUUUGAGUGGGAUAUGGACGAUGUUCACUCGGGGCUUACCGGUAAAUAGAGUUUGCAAGUUGAAGUGGAAGAAAUAUAUGUGGACUAUCAACAAGUUUAAUUGUGGUUGGGCUGAUGCUUAAAGCAUAUUGGGAGGAGUUCCAAUUGGGAUAAUUGUUCAAUGUCCUCUGGUUAUGUAUCUAAUUCACCUGCAUCUAGUUCCGUUAGGCUAAGUUGCGGCAUCAACCUUGGAUACUAGCCGUGAAAGCUUUACUGCAUAAGGUUUCUUUUGUGGACCGAUGAGACUGCCGAUGAUCUUUUGUUCUGAAUAGCCAUAAUGGUUUUAUGGACCAAUGAGACUGCCGUGAAAGCUUUACUGCAUAAAGUUUCUUUUGUGUUGUAUUGUGUAUCUUCACCCAUCAGGAAAGCACUGCAGGGAAGAUUUUAUUGGUAUGUCAUUGGUACAUCAUGUGCGAUGAAGGUCCCGUGUAUAUCUCUGCUUCCUUACAUUGGAUAUCUGGACAUUGUGGAAUCACAGCAGUACAUUACAUUGUUGGUUA